Papaver somniferum (opium poppy) is the source of this 1297-nucleotide long non-coding RNA. RefSeq lists it as uncharacterized. The record is from RefSeq and is a predicted model, not a curated record. Lineage: Eukaryota; Viridiplantae; Streptophyta; Magnoliopsida; Ranunculales; Papaveraceae. The transcript is spliced from 4 exons.
ACCAAUCGAAGAAAAUCAUUUUCUUCUUCGUUUCUUCUUUUUCGUUUCUCCUCUUGUUCGUUGGUGACUAUUGAUUAAGAGAAUGGGUUGAUGAAACAAUAUAGAUGUUACGGAGAUGGUGUUGUUACAAAUCAUGAUGAAGAAUAAUUAGGGAUUGUUAGGGUUUAUGAUUGAGGUGAUAAAACAGAGAGAAAAGCAGGGUUAGGGUUUCAGAGAGUUGAUGAUGAAUUCAUCUUAAAACGGAUCAACUAAGGAUGGAUUUGAAGAGGAUAAUCUAGACAAGAAGAUUAUCAAGUUAAUUCGAGGGUUCGAUUACGAAGAAGAUCUCAAUUUGAGAAAUUAGUAAACUAGGGUUUGAUUUUCUGAUUUGGGGACAUAGAAGAUCUAAAUAGAAGAUUGGAUUGAGGUUAGAUUCAAGUUUUCAGAUGUGCUUGAAGUGUUUUGAUGGAAUUCAGGUAAAGAAGAAGGAAUAGAAGAUGGCUUUUGCAUGGUGUUGGUAAUGGAAGAAGCUGUUGGGUUGAGGAGAUUGUUAUAGGAGAUGGUUUUGAAUUCUUGAGCUUAGAAGAUAUAAUUGGUCUGUAAGGACGAUCAGUUUCCUUAACUAUUCCAAAUUCAGAGAAAUUGAUCAAUUUUAAGGGGAAAAGUGCUACUGCAUUUUAACAAAAUUGGUUUUGUUGUGGGUCAAUGUCAUCAUGCAUACACUUGGAGCACUUGCACUGGCAACCGAUUCUCCAAGUGAGAAACUAAUGAAGAGAACUCCAGUUGUAAGAACAUGCAAUUUUAUCAGUAUUGUGAUAUGGAGGAACAUCAUGGGGCAAUCUCUUUAUCAAGUUUCUGUAGUUACGAACUCCGGGUCGCAGGAAAAGCAGUAUUCAGUCUUCAUAGGCCUGAACCUGAUCUGGUUCGGAGUACUCUGAUUCUCGACUCUUUCAUAUUCUGUCAGGUUUUCAAUGAAAUAAGUUCAUAGGAGAUGAAAAAGAUUGGCGUUCUUAAAAGAUUGGCCUUCUUAAAAGGCAUAUUGGAGAACUAUGUGUUUGUUGCUGUCCUCGGUUGCACUGUCGUGUUCCAGAUCAUUAUCAUUAAAUUCCUUGGUACUGCAAACACCUCUCCUCUCACUUUAACUCAAUGAUUCUUCAGUGUCUUCAUUGGAUUGCUAUGAAUGCCAAUUGCUGUAGUUGUCAAGAUGACCAGUGACUUGUCUUUUAAUUCUACCCUAAACAUGGGUCUAUGAGAUCCUUCUAGUGAUGUCUUUUUUAGAUGUCUUAGAAUUUUAAUCCAAUUUUAAACUUCUCUGCAA